Bemisia tabaci is the source of this 1098-nucleotide long non-coding RNA. RefSeq lists it as uncharacterized. The record is from RefSeq and is a predicted model, not a curated record. NCBI's taxonomy places the organism in Eukaryota, Metazoa, Arthropoda, Insecta, Hemiptera, Aleyrodidae.
GGGGGGGGGGGUACCAGCGAGGAUAACAUUACCUUCCUACCGAAAUCUAAAUUCAUCGUUUGCUGGUUUGAUGGGGCUUAUCACACAGGGAGGGGCAGUUUUGAUCUGUGAGUUGAAGUUGGACAACUUUUUUGGUGGAGGAUACCUACCCUUUUUCUCUGGUUUUGAAGUAUCUGUGUUAAGUUUUGAAGAACUGGAUUUCGGAGGUUUCGAUAGUAGCCUCUGUCUGUGUCUUGCUGUGCACGCAUUCCAAUGCCCAUGGAUUUUCAAAUAAUGAUGUGCACCUUCCCGAUUCAGCUAGGAUUAGUCUCAUCAAUUUGGCAGCGUUAAGAGAAAAGACAAGCACCGGAGGAAAGUUCCAAUUUGAAGUGCGACAAGAGCUUCCAAAAUUGCUCACUGCUCGAUUUAGGUGGUAAAACAGUCAAAAAAUUGAAUGGUCAUUGAAAAUCUCUACAAAUGGCUCCGUUAAUAGAAGGAUUUAAUUAUUCGUAUCAAGAUAAUAACGACUUCAGCAUGAGUGAAAUGUUGACACAAGAGAGCAUCAACGCUACAUACUGGCUGCUUCGGUGUAAUGAAACUGAAGGUUUUUCAGCGGACAGUGAUGAUUGCAAACAACAAGAUCAGAUUUACGAUUUUCAAAUUAUCAAAGUAAUAGUCUUGAUUGUAAUAGUUAUAAUUGUACUAUUAGCAAUUUGUAGGAUGGUUUUUGGUUUAUUUGUUCAUUAUUCGGUGAGUGAAAGUGCUGAUAGGUGAUCGUUACUAUAGCUACAUAAUUCACUAAAAAAUUGCAAUUAAACCUAGAGGAAAAUUCAAGUUUCAGUGUCACCGAAUUUGACUGAAUCUUCAAGGAAAAAUCAAAUGAGAACAACCUACAGUUUGGUAAAAAAAUAUGAUUCAUAAAUCUUCCUGAGGCAAAUACAAAUUUUACAGUUGUAAAAUACCGAUAAAUGAAGCGAGAAAAAUCUAGAGAAUAAGUCGGUUUAGACUGAUUGAUCUUCUAAAUUAUUUCCAAGUUCAAUCAGACUACCUUCAUGAAAACCUUGUAAUACUUCAUUUAUGAAAUUGAAAUUAAAUAUAUUACAACGUGAAAUUCUUGAA